RNAcentral lists this ribosomal RNA (444 nucleotides) under Staphylococcus aureus. RNAcentral's name for it is "partial 23S ribosomal RNA". It matches the Rfam family "Bacterial large subunit ribosomal RNA", at positions 1003 to 1452 of the family's 2925-position model. Lineage: Bacteria; Bacillati; Bacillota; Bacilli; Caryophanales; Staphylococcaceae. The record is from RNAcentral.
GUCCGUGUUCGAAAGGGAAACAGCCCAGACCACCAGCUAAGGUCCCAAAAUAUAUGUUAAGUGGAAAAGGAUGUGGCGUUGCCCAGACAACUAGGAUGUUGGCUUAGAAGCAGCCAUCAUUUAAAGAGUGCGUAAUAGCUCACUAGUCGAGUGACACUGCGCCGAAAAUGUACCGGGGCUAAACAUAUUACCGAAGCUGUGGAUUGUCCUUUGGACAAUGGUAGGAGAGCGUUCUAAGGGCGUUGAAGCAUGAUCGUAAGGACAUGUGGAGCGCUUAGAAGUGAGAAUGCCGGUGUGAGUAGCGAAAGACGGGUGAGAAUCCCGUCCACCGAUUGACUAAGGUUUCCAGAGGAAGGCUCGUCCGCUCUGGGUUAGUCGGGUCCUAAGCUGAGGCCGACAGGCGUAGGCGAUGGAUAACAGGUUGAUAUUCCUGUACCACCUAUA